RNAcentral lists this ribosomal RNA (567 nucleotides) under Propionibacteriaceae bacterium CVD047B. RNAcentral describes it as "bacterial SSU rRNA". It matches the Rfam family "Bacterial small subunit ribosomal RNA", at positions 481 to 1048 of the family's 1533-position model. Lineage: Bacteria; Bacillati; Actinomycetota; Actinomycetes; Propionibacteriales; Propionibacteriaceae. The record is from RNAcentral.
GGAGAAGAAGCACCGGCUAACUACGUGCCAGCAGCCGCGGUGAUACGUAGGGUGCGAGCGUUGUCCGGAUUUAUUGGGCGCAAAGAGCUCGUAGGUGGUUUGUCGCGUCGGGUGUGAAAACAGACAGCUUAACUGUGUGCUUGCAUUCGAUACGGGCAGACUUGAGGGAUGUAGGGGAGAACGGAAUUCCUGGUGGAGCGGUGGAAUGCGCAGAUAUCAGGAGGAACACCGGUGGCGAAGGCGGUUCUCUGGACAUUUCCUGACGCUGAGGAGCGAAAGCGUGGGGAGCGAACAGGCUUAGAUACCCUGGUAGUCCACGCCGUAAGCGGUGGGCACUAGGUGUGGGGGACAUUCCACGUUCUCCGUGCCGUAGCUAACGCAUUAAGUGCCCCGCCUGGGGAGUACGGCCGCAAGGCUAAAACUCAAAGGAAUUGACGGGGGCCCGCACAAGCGGCGGAGCAUGCGGAUUAAUUCGAUGCAACGCGAAGAACCUUACCUGGGUUUGACAUGCACCAGACGACAGCAGAGAUGUUGUUUCCUUCGGGCUGGUGUGCAGGUGGUGCAUGG